AAUAAUCACUAGGGGAGCAUUAAUGCUGAGAGGAGGCAAUUUAGCUUCGACCCUUAAACCUGAUCUAGUUAAUACUAGCGUAGGGAAGUGUUUAUUUUAUAUU
RNAcentral lists this non-coding RNA (103 nucleotides) under Proteiniborus sp. DW1. Its description in RNAcentral is "TPP riboswitch aptamer (THI element)". It matches the Rfam family "TPP riboswitch aptamer (THI element)". Rfam says of the family: Vitamin B(1) in its active form thiamin pyrophosphate (TPP) is an essential coenzyme that is synthesised by coupling of pyrimidine and thiazole moieties in bacteria. Lineage: Bacteria; Bacillati; Bacillota; Clostridia; Eubacteriales. RNAcentral also lists the same sequence under 1 other name. The record is from Rfam by way of RNAcentral.